This 72-nucleotide transfer RNA is filed under the name Equus asinus (donkey). It matches the Rfam family "tRNA". Rfam says of the family: Transfer RNA (tRNA) molecules are approximately 80 nucleotides in length. Lineage: Eukaryota; Metazoa; Chordata; Mammalia; Perissodactyla; Equidae. The record is from Rfam by way of RNAcentral. RNAcentral also lists the same sequence under 1 other name.
GCCCCAGUGGUCUAGUGGUUAAGAUUUGGCACUCUCACUGCCAUGGCCCGGGUUCACUUCCCAGUCAGGGAA